Molecule: ribosomal RNA, 542 nt
Filed under: uncultured bacterium
Lineage: Bacteria
Description: partial 16S ribosomal RNA
Rfam family: Bacterial small subunit ribosomal RNA
Source: RNAcentral
GGGGAAUAUUGCACAAUGGGCGCAAGCCUGAUGCAGCCAUGCCGCGUGUGUGAAGAAGGCCUUCGGGUUGUAAAGCACUUUCAGCGAGGAGGAAGGGUAGUGUGUUAAUAGCACAUUGCAUUGACGUUACUCGCAGAAGAAGCACCGGCUAACUCCGUGCCAGCAGCCGCGGUAAUACGGAGGGUGCAAGCGUUAAUCGGAAUUACUGGGCGUAAAGCGCACGCAGGCGGUUUGUUAAGUCAGAUGUGAAAUCCCCGCGCUUAACGUGGGAACUGCAUUUGAAACUGGCAAGCUAGAGUCUUGUAGAGGGGGGUAGAAUUCCAGGUGUAACGGUGAAAUGCGUAGAGAUCUGGAGGAAUACCGGUGGCGAAGGCGGCCCCCUGGACAAAGACUGACGCUCAGGUGCGAAAGCGUGGGGAGCAAGCAGGAUUAGAUACCCUGGUAGUCCACGCUGUAAACGAUGUCGACUUGGAGGUUGUGCCCUUGAGGCGUGGCUUCCGGAGCUAACGCGUUAAGUCGACCGCCUGGGGGAGUACGGCCCG